GACGAACGCUGGCGGCGUGGAUUAGGCAUGCAAGUCGAACGGUAUCAUCCUUUCGGGGGUGAGAGAGUGGCGAACUGGUGAGUAACACGUAGGUUAUCUACCCUCAAGACGGGGACAACCCAGGGAAACUUGGGCUAAUACCGGAUGUGAGCAACUUUUAGUUGUUUGAAAGGUGGCGUAAGCUGUCGCUUGGGGAUGAGCCUGCGUCCUAUUAGUUAGUUGGUGAGGUAACGGCUCACCUAGGCAAUGAUAGGUAGGCGGCCUUAACGGGUGGUCGCCCACACUGGGAUUGAGAUACGGCCCAGACUCCUACGGGAGCAGCAGUCGAGAAUAGUCUACAAUGGCCGAAAGGCUGAUAGUGCGACGCCGCGUGAACGAAGAAGCCCUUCGGGGUGUAAAGUUCUUUUAUAUGUGAGCAGUGCUUUCUAUGUGAACGCAUGGGGAAGAGAUAUUAGCAUAUGAAUAAGCAACGGCUAACUCCGUGCCAGCAGCCGCGGU
Molecule: ribosomal RNA, 498 nt
Filed under: uncultured bacterium
Lineage: Bacteria
Description: bacterial SSU rRNA
Rfam family: Bacterial small subunit ribosomal RNA
Source: RNAcentral